UGAGAAGUUAGUAAACCCAUUACAUGGCCUUGUCAAGACCAAAUCACAGGUUAAACUCCUGUACAUCUC
Molecule: transfer RNA, 69 nt
Filed under: Tinamus major (great tinamou)
Lineage: Eukaryota; Metazoa; Chordata; Aves; Tinamiformes; Tinamidae
Description: tRNA-Asp
Rfam family: tRNA
About the family: Transfer RNA (tRNA) molecules are approximately 80 nucleotides in length.
Source: RNAcentral